Molecule: ribosomal RNA, 552 nt
Filed under: uncultured bacterium
Lineage: Bacteria
Description: bacterial SSU rRNA
Rfam family: Bacterial small subunit ribosomal RNA
Source: RNAcentral
UGGGGAAUUUUCCGCAAUGGGCGAAAGCCUGACGGAGUGACGCCGCGUGUGGGACGAAGGCCUUCGGGUCGUAAACCACUGUCAGUGGGAAAGAUGGGUGUCGGCGCUAAUACCGCCGGCAUCUGACGGUACCUGCAGAGGAAGCCCCGGCCAACUCUGUGCCAGCAGCCGCGGUAAGACAGAGGGGGCAAGCGUUGCUCGGAAUUACUGGGCGUAAAGGGCGCGUAGGCGGGAUGGCAAGUCGGUCGUGAAAUCCCUCGGCUCAACUGAGGAAUGUCGAUCGAUACUGCUGUUCUUGAGGAUUGCAGAGGAGACUGGAAUUCCCGGUGUAGCGGUGAAAUGUGUAGAGAUCGGGAGGAACACCGGUGGCGAAGGCGGGUCUCUGGGCAAUUCCUGACGCUGAGGCGCGAAAGCGUGGGGAGCAAACGGGAUUAGAUACCCCGGUAGUCCACGCUGUAAACGAUGAGCACUAGGUGUGGGGGGGUUCAGUCCCCUCCGUGCCGCAGCUAACGCAUUAAGUGCUCCGCCUGGGGAGUACGGCCGCAAGGUUGA